AGUGAACGCUGGCGGUAGGCCUAACACAUGCAAGUCGAACGGCAGCACAGUAAGAGCUUGCUCUUACGGGUGGCGAGUGGCGGACGGGUGAGGAAUACAUCGGAACCUACUUUUUCGUGGGGGAUAACGUAGGGAAACUUACGCUAAUACCGCAUACGACCUACGGGUGAAAGCAGGGGAUCUUCGGACCUUGCGCGAUUGAAUGAGCCGAUGUCGGAUUAGCUAGUUGGCGGGGUAAAGGCCCACCAAGGCGACGAUCCGUAGCUGGUCUGAGAGGAUGAUCAGCCACACUGGAACUGAGACACGGUCCAAACUCCUACGGGAGGCAGCAGUGGGGAAUAUUGGACAAUGGGCGCAAGCCUGAUCCAGCCAUACCGCGUGGGUGAAGAAGGCCUUCGGGUUGUAAAGCCCUUUUGUUGGGAAAGAAAAGCAGCAGGUUAAUACCCCGCUGUUCUGACGGUACCCAAAGAAUAAGCACCGGCUAACUUCGUG
RNAcentral lists this ribosomal RNA (492 nucleotides) under uncultured bacterium. Its description in RNAcentral is "partial 16S ribosomal RNA". It matches the Rfam family "Bacterial small subunit ribosomal RNA", at positions 29 to 507 of the family's 1533-position model. The record is from RNAcentral.